AGAACAGAAGUGUAUUUGGCUCAUGGUUUUGGAGUCUGGGAAGUCCAAGAGCAUAGCACCAGCACCUACAAGGGUCAUCUCAUGGCAGAAGUAUGGAAGGCACAAGCAAACAUGCAUCUCCAGCUGCCCUGGCAAAGAGCGUGCUGGCUGAAGUCCCAAACCAAGUUGUGGACUAUUACAAUGGCAAAGGAAUUAAACCAAAAUGUUCAUCAGAAAUGUAUGAAUCUUCCAGAACACUAGCACCAUGAACUCCCCACACAGUUUUACAGAGUUCUGAAAUACUAUUCCUGCUAAUAUUUCAUAUUUAAUACUUCUACUACUCCUGUACUUUAAAAAACCAACAACAUAUACACAUUUAAAAAUAGCACGUUUUGGUGAUUUUUAACUAUCUGACAAUUUUUUUUGCAUGUGUAGCCCUGAGGCCUGGAUCUGUUAAGCCCUUGUAUUGUUAACUUUUUACAAAGAAACACAGAUAACAAUAACUUACUAUUUACAUUACAGCAUGUCGCCUUGAAAUAAAAUGGUAUCUGUAUCCAUUUUUUAUACAGGUUUGUUGAAAUUUUGCUAAAUUUCUUAUCUUUACACUCUAAAGCAUUUUGAAACAUUUACUGAAUGUUGAUAGACGAAAUAUACUUGGUUUUAUCUGCUAUAGGAUGAGAGACUUUUUAAAAUGGCAGAUGCAUGGACUGUAUUUUGCAUG
Molecule: long non-coding RNA, 700 nt
Filed under: Homo sapiens (human)
Lineage: Eukaryota; Metazoa; Chordata; Mammalia; Primates; Hominidae
Description: non-protein coding lnc-MRPL3-3:1
Source: RNAcentral